This 69-nucleotide transfer RNA is filed under the name Urocitellus parryii (Arctic ground squirrel). RNAcentral describes it as "Spermophilus parryii (Arctic ground squirrel) tRNA". It matches the Rfam family "tRNA". Rfam says of the family: Transfer RNA (tRNA) molecules are approximately 80 nucleotides in length. Their secondary structure includes four short double-helical elements and three loops (D, anti-codon, and T loops). Further hydrogen bonds mediate the characteristic L-shaped molecular structure. tRNAs have two regions of fundamental functional importance: the anti-codon, which is responsible for specific mRNA codon recognition, and the 3' end, to which the tRNAs corresponding amino acid is attached (by aminoacyl-tRNA synthetases). tRNAs cope with the degeneracy of the genetic code in two manners: having more than one tRNA (with a specific anti-codon) for a particular amino acid; and 'wobble' base-pairing, i.e. permitting non-standard base-pairing at the 3rd anti-codon position. RNAcentral also lists the same sequence under 2 other names. The record is from Rfam by way of RNAcentral. Lineage: Eukaryota; Metazoa; Chordata; Mammalia; Rodentia; Sciuridae.
GGGAUUGUGACUCAGAGGUAGAGUACUUGCCUAGCACGCAUGAGGCACUGGGUUCAAUCCUCAGCACCA